This 375-nucleotide ribosomal RNA is filed under the name uncultured bacterium. Its description in RNAcentral is "bacterial SSU rRNA". It matches the Rfam family "Bacterial small subunit ribosomal RNA", at positions 524 to 898 of the family's 1533-position model. The record is from RNAcentral.
UACGUAGGUGGCAAGCGUUGUCCGGAAUUACUGGGUGUAAAGGGUGCGCAGGCGGGUAUUCAAGUCAGCUGUGAAAACUAUGGGCUCAACCCAUAGACUGCAGUUGAAACUGUAUAUCUUGAGUGAAGUAGAGGUAAGCGGAAUUCCAAGUGUAGCGGUGAAAUGCGUAGAUAUUUGGAGGAACACCAGUGGCGAAGGCGGCUUACUGGGCUUUUACUGACGCUGAGGCACGAAAGCAUGGGGAGCAAACAGGAUUAGAUACCCUGGUAGUCCAUGCUGUAAACGAUGAUUACUAGGUGUGGGGGGACUGACCCCUUCCGUGCCGGAGUUAACACAAUAAGUAAUCCACCUGGGGAGUACGGCCGCAAGGUUGAA